CCGGCACGGGUGAGUAACGCGUAUGCAACUUGCCUAUCAGGAGGGGAGAACCCGGCGAAAGUCGGACUAAUACCGCAUGAAGCAGGGGCCCCGCAUGGGGGAUAUUUGCUAAAGAUUCAUCGCUGAUAGAUAGGCAUGCGUUCCAUUAGGCAGUUGGCGGGGUAACGGCCCACCAAACCGACGAUGGAUAGGGGUUCUGAGAGGAAGGUCCCCCACAUUGGUACUGAGACACGGACCAA
This 239-nucleotide ribosomal RNA is filed under the name uncultured bacterium. Its description in RNAcentral is "partial 16S ribosomal RNA". It matches the Rfam family "Bacterial small subunit ribosomal RNA", at positions 100 to 334 of the family's 1533-position model. The record is from RNAcentral.